This is a non-coding RNA of Xenopus laevis (African clawed frog), 412 nucleotides long. Lineage: Eukaryota; Metazoa; Chordata; Amphibia; Anura; Pipidae. The record is from the annotation of a RefSeq genome assembly.
CUGCGAGUGCUGCAUUCUCUGUCUGUGACCUGCAGUCAUCACAAAUAUGUUACUUUUAUUCUCUUUAAUUGGAUUCUCAACAAUCCUUGGAGUCAUUUCAGAUAUUCAACUAAUACAAUCAGGCUCAGAAAUGAAAAAGCCUGGAGAAACUGUGAAAUUAACUUGCAAAACCUCAGGGUAUGAUUUUGGCAGCUACUAUAUGCACUGGGUUCUGCAGAUCCCAGGGAAAGGUUUGCAGUGGGUUGGAAGAAUAAAUCCUAACAAUGGGAACACAGACUACACUUCUUCAUUCAAGGGAAGAUUUACAAUCACCAAAGACAAUUCAAUCACUACAGUCUAUCUGGAGAUAAGCAGCCUGAAGCCAGAAGAUACUGCAACCUAUUACUGUACAAUGCACAAUGAGAACAACUAG